CUCAGAGACAAAAAUGUAGAUUCAGAUAUUGCUAACAUUUAUCAUCACCCUGUUUCUUGGUAAAAAAUGUUAACUACUGUCUACUUUCCAAGAGGUGUAGGCUGCAUAAAUAUUAUCAAUGAACAUCAUCGCUGAACCAAUUGGAUGCAUAACUGCUAUUUCAAACAUGUUAUGCAAGCUCUGUGCUUCAAAAGAAAAGUUGUUUUGGUCUUUGAGAAUCAAAAUAAAACAAAAAAAGGCUAAAUACUUGUUGCAAGACAUGUAAGCCCUAAACUCGGAUAUUGUCCCUCAACUAGGCUUUGGAAGAAAUCCAGAAUCUUCAAGAUUACUGAAAAUGCUACAUCUUGAACUUCAAUUCUGUAUUGGUUGGUAAUAUUUUGCCACGGUGAUUGAAUAUCAUGAAGUCCAGGUUGGCUGGGAAGUAAACAAUCCUGCAUUUCGAUAUAGAAUGACAUCAGGAUGAAAACCAUGAUGUGUGUUUACUAUAUCUGUCUUAUGUCAGUGUAAGCGUGAUCUGUAUAUGUGCGUGAUGUGAGAAAAAUAAAUAAAUUCACCUGCACUUGGCUAUUUAGCCCUCAUGAGAGAGAGAGGGGGGGAUAACUAAAUAAAUUCACCAAUGAUUGGCUAUUUAGCCCUAACAUAGGACUUACCGCAGGUU
This 658-nucleotide long non-coding RNA is filed under the name Phoenix dactylifera (date palm). RNAcentral's name for it is "long non-coding RNA (PDAC_LNC018128)". The record is from RNAcentral. Lineage: Eukaryota; Viridiplantae; Streptophyta; Magnoliopsida; Arecales; Arecaceae.